Microcebus murinus (gray mouse lemur) is the source of this 2101-nucleotide non-coding RNA. The record is from RefSeq and is a predicted model, not a curated record. Lineage: Eukaryota; Metazoa; Chordata; Mammalia; Primates; Cheirogaleidae.
AUGGUCCUCCAGACACUGAUGCCACCACCCAGCUUCACCCAGUCCCUCCUCCCAGGACAUAGGCUUGGAAGUGGCUCCUCACACUCUCUCAGCCUUCCCUCUCUUUCCCUCCCCUUUCCUCUCUGCUCCCCUCCCCUGCUCUGGGGCUGACUCUGAGUGAGAGGUCCUCCCUCCUCCCUCAACUCACCCUGGCCCCCACUUCCCAGGGUGGCCCCCCAGGGUGGAGGGGGACUCGGGAGGAGAGGGGCAAGAAGAGUCUGGACCCCGAGGCAGGUCUGCUGGGGCUGGCUCCAGGGGAGAGCACAGAGCUGGCCAGGCUGCCUGGGAUAGAGGGACAGAAGGAGGCCGAGCAAGGGGCCACGGGGAGCAGGAGGAGAGUCUCCCUCAGGGGCAGCGGCAGGCCCGAGGCCCCUCCCACUCACAGAGGCGGCUGAGAGCAGGGCAGCACGGCGGGGCCAGUGGGCAGCAGGCAGACACCCAGGCCCCCGAGCGAGUAGAGGGGUGCUGCCAGGCCCAGGGUCCUCUGUCAUUGCCCAUCUCCGCCUUUCUCUCUGUCUCUUGCCCGCUUUCUGUGGUUCCCCGUGUGUGCAUGUGUCUGUCUCCCACUCGCUUCCCUCUUCCCUUCUCCCGUGCCUUCUCUCGCCCGGCUCUUCCACUCAAGGGCCCAGUAUCUGGGGCCAGGUUCCCAGAGUGGAAGGCGGCUUCGUCCUGGGAGGCCUUUGACCCAAGCCCACAGUCUCCACAUAGCCAUGUCCAGCUCCCCCUUUCCUCGCCCAGGCCUUCCCUGUGCCGGGGUCCUUGGAGCCAGAGCCCAUCCUGCCCUUGCCAGCCUCUUCAGCACUUGCCCAGCACGGAGUCGGAGCUCAGCCACAAGGCCCUGGGGGCCAGGCUGGCCUGAAGCUGCCCUGGACCCUGGCGCCUCAUGGGGGCUCAGUUGGAAGUGCCCAGGGGUGGUGGUGUGUGUCCCUCUCUGCCCCAGCCUCUAGAGCCCUGGAGGAGCCUGUGGUGAGAGGUGGACGUGGUUGUUCUCAGGGGCCAUGGAGGCAACCAGGACCCCAGGGCGUAGGGGUGGCAUGAAGUUUCCCUUAGAAAGCUGUUGAGCCAUCUGGGCACCUCUGCAUGUCGGGCCACCUGGUACGCGUCUCCACUUGGAUGCUCUACAGGUUUACCAACCCCCCGUGUUCAACAGUAAACUAGAAACCCGGAGCCAGCCUUAGUGGAUCCCUGGCCCACAGCCCUCUGCCAGUCAGUCGCCAGGUCCCAUGGCUUCUGCCCCUUACAUCUCUAUCAAUCCGGCCACCUUUUUCCACCCCCAGCCUGGGCCUGGCCACCGCCACCUCUCACCUGGACCUCUGCGGGAGCCUCCUGAGAGGUCACCCCACCUCCAUUCUGAUCACCUGCCAGCCCAUCCUCCACACCUUGCCCAGAAAUGCACCCUGACCCUCAUACAGCUCCUACAGCGCCCGCGCCCCGCGCCCCCCACACUCCUAUAGCCUCUGCGCCAGGCUCUCUCCCCACUGCGCCUUGGCAGGUGCUGUAGCCUCAGCCCUCAGCAAUCUUUCUUAGGGCUCCUCCUGGCAUCCCUUACUCUGGGAAGCCUCUCCUGUGUUCUUCCCACUGGAGCCUGGGGCAGGAUUCCCCUUGCAAGAGCUGCCGUCGCCUUCAUCCCCCCACCGCAGCACGCAGGGCGCUGAAUAGCACUUCGCUGUCUCCAACGAGCAGAGAGGCCAUGCCUGGCCACAGCAAGGCCUGCGGCGCACCAGGAGACAAGGAGAAUCAUCAGAGAAGGCCUCCGCACCCCAGGGUGGGCCAAGGCCUCCUGCCAGCGCCCACCAGCGUCUUCAGCAGCAGUCCUGGGCCUGAAUGAACUGGCUGCAUGUGACCGCAAACACAUAUGACCGCAUCUCACCCGGGUUCACGGCCAUGCCAGGGAGACGGAUGCUGCUCCUGGAGUCUGAGCACAGCCCCAAGUGGAGAUCUCUGAAGACUUUUCUACCUUAAAAAUUCAUAGGCAUUUUGCUUCCUGCCUCAUACUAUCUCCUUGCAUGUUUUAAUAUCAAAAUAAUGCUGCCCAUCACUUACCAAUGGACAAAAGCGGACA